This 1082-nucleotide long non-coding RNA is filed under the name Mytilus galloprovincialis (Mediterranean mussel). The record is from RNAcentral. Lineage: Eukaryota; Metazoa; Mollusca; Bivalvia; Mytilida; Mytilidae.
AUUCAGGAAGUAAUGUCCUUAUCAAAAUAAUUUAAUUCUCACCACGUACUAAUUCUUCAGCUAUUUGAACGAAAAUAUCAAAAAUGUUGACAGAAAAUUUAAAGGUCAACUUUGUCUUACUGGAAGGGAGGGAGAGCUCCAGACGUACUUAUUAACAGACAAAGCAGGCUUAUGGCUUAUCGUCAGUUUGUGUGCUGGGUCAGGAAAGGUCAACCACUUGGCAAGAAACACAGAAUAAUCCUACCGGCUUGUGUAGUAAACAUAAUUAGAAAAGAGUUUCCAUCGUUGGAUGGGGUAUACGAAUGAUUCAAAGAAUGUGAAAGUGACACUUCAGACUGAAUAGUUCUAAAAUCAUUUAAACGAUUUACCAAUACAAUUUUUCACCGAAUGUUUCAGAUUCAUUUCAUUAUUUGUGUAUUAAUAAACCUAUUUUAUGAAUUAUUUCACUUUGAGGUCUAAUUUUAUAGAUUGCAUGUUGUAUUAACAUGAAGGUUUGGUCUACCACAGUACCACGGAGCGUUGAUAUGAUUUGACCCGAGAUCCUCCCGAGAUGUUGUUGGGGUUCUUGUUGUGCGACCUAAACCAGUUUUCUAUGAUGUGUUUUUUAUCUCUUUGUUUGUCUUUCGAUCGUUUAUUGGUUAUUUUUUGCUAUGACGUUGUCAGUGUGUUUUUUAAUACUGAAUAUGACUAUCCGUAUUGGUACCUUCUGUCUUUUUACAAACAAGACCAUGAAACUGAAUAUUGGAAAUGUAUCAUGCUACUACAAAAAAAAAGCACUGAUGGAUUGUCCUAGAAGCAUAUUUUAUGAGAAUAAUAAUGGUCUAUAAGCAGUUACAUUUAUUUCAUGUUUGAAGCGGUGCAUUUUUUAAAAUUUAAUUUGACUUUUACCAAGAAAUGCAUUGUAGCAAAGGGGUAAGAGUAAUUGUGGUCUAGUGUCAGAUACUCGAAAAUAAUGGAAUUUAACAGAAAAGGAAACAAAUAACGGACUUUGGCAAAAAUGUAGAGGGCUUUUGAUACCUUUUCUCCAGACAUAAAAUCUUUUACAAUAAAUCAUCCUACAACAGCUUAAAAGCUUGAAAUGC